Non-coding RNA from Camelina sativa (false flax), 5800 nucleotides. NCBI's taxonomy places the organism in Eukaryota, Viridiplantae, Streptophyta, Magnoliopsida, Brassicales, Brassicaceae. The record is from RefSeq and is a predicted model, not a curated record.
AAUCACAAGUGUUUCUCUUGUUGGGAAAUUUACAGAAAGAGUUAAUAACACACCCUCAUGUUAUUUUUCUCCGAUUUGAAAAGAAAGAAAGUGAGUCUAGCUCGACAAGAGGUUUCAUGUUUGUCGACUUUAAUCGAGAAGGGAAAGCAAUGAAGCUGAGGAUAGUCAGUUGCAAAGUGUGGUGUUUUGUCAGUCGUUGAAAAUUAUAUUUGAGAAGUUUGGUUUUAUCUCCACCCAUGUUUUCAGACAGAGACAAAGACUUGUGCAUACUGCCUUCGAUCGUUUUGGAUAUCUACAGAGGUUGAGCACCAAAAUUGGUGUUAUUGUUGGUGGUGUGUUCUGCAGAGAAGUAUUGGAUUGUUUUGAGUUUCUUAAAUCAACAAUCUCAGUUUUGUGUAUGAAUGAAAGUCUGUGAGAUGAGCUCUGUUUUCUCUAUUGAGAUUGAGACUUAGUUUUUUUCUUGGUGUGUACUUCAUUUCACUUGAAGUUGGUUUAAUUGUGGCUGGUUUACUUCUCUUGAAUCAAGAAAUUGCAAGUUUGACUGUUUGAUCAAGAAAGCGGAAGAAAAUCGCAGGUUGUGAUAUGGAAAAACAUUGGAACUUGGCAUCAGUAUUGGUUUAUUAGAGAAGGAGCUCUUGUUAGGUUGUGACUCGAGCGUUAGCAUAUGAAUCUUGUCACCAUUAUGAAGAUUCAAGGUUUGGUGCAUCUUUCUCUGUGUCUUAUGAUAAGCAUCCUUGGUUGGUUGUUGUUGUACGUGUCAUGCUUUUUUUAUACACGCAAACAAGAAGGGGGAGAAGAAGGUUAAGAAUGCUGAAACCAAUAGCUUCAUAGUUCUCUUAAUCGUCGGGCAGAGAUGAAGGAAGAUAGGAUGGUUGUUUCAUCAUGGGUUUCUUUGGGAUUUUUGGCCCAAUAUCUUGCUGAACUAAAUCAGGCCCAGAAGAAUUGGAAACGUGUUGGUUUGGGAUUUUUGAAAAGGCAGUGAUCUCAAUAGAAAGUUGCAGUUAGGCUUCUUUGGUGUUCUAGGGUGUAUCGAAUCCAAAAGUGAGAGAGAGAGAACUACAAUUUGUGAAUCUUGAUUUGAUUCACAGUUUGUUGAGUUUGUGUGUUACAUGUGGAAUUUUGGAGGAGCUAGGAGAUAAAUCUUCACAAUUUCAUCAUGAGGUUUAAGGAUUGCAUUGAUGGCAAAGGAGACAACUUGAGCCGGAAUAAAAUCUUGUAUUGGAUUCCAGAUUUGGUGAGAAGUUUUUGAAACAUGGAGAAAAGAUUGAUAGUCACCAUCAUGGAAGAAAAUGGCGAUUUUGUGAAAAAAUAGGAGAGAUGAAUCUCAUGGUAGAUUCAAAUCUAAAUGACAGAAAGGAGCUGGUGAAGAGUGAGGCUCUCAAUCUGUGUACACUGGUUUGACGAGAGGAAGUUUUUUUUGUGCUGUUUGAUCUGGGAAAUUUGGUCGAUGUCUUUUGUGGUUCUUGUUUUUCCUUGUUGGUUGAGCUGUUAUAGAAUCAACGAGAAGAAGUUUUUUGUUCAGUUGUUGGGACUCAUAAAUCAAUUAUUUUGGGGCUGUUCUUCAAAGUAUUUUCGAUAAUGAGAGUUCCAAGUGAUUAUGGUGUCUGAAUAUUCUUGGAAUGUUGGCUGGUUUUAGGAUCAAUAGAGCUUUGUCGCUGAAUUUGAAUUUGACAGUGGUUGAGAAAUUUUCUGCGGGUAUCGUGAAGUUAAUUUCAGGUUGCUAAGGACUGUUUUUCUUGGCUGUAGUUUGGCGCUAUAGUGUGAACCUGCAAUUUUGUGAAGAUGAUUUCAAAAGGAGCUUACAGUUGGUCUUGGAAUUAGAGAUAGGAGUGAGAUGCCUGUGAUAUUAUUUUCAGAGUCAAAAGUUGUGAGUGUUAUAAGCUUGAACGAAAUCAGUGUGUAAUGUGGCUGCAAAGAAGAGAGGCUGGAUUUCAAGAGAAAGAGAUUUUUGGUCUUGAUGCGACAAUAUCAAUGGUUCAUGCUGUAAAAAGAAGAAGAGAUGUUCAAAAUACAAGGUCUCAUGAUGUGGUUUAUGGCGCUUAUAGCUGUCGUUGGUAUUUGAGAAGAGAUCAGACGAGAGACUACAGUUUUUUUUGAUAUGGUUCUGUCUUCUGUUGGAUACUUUCUUCUUCGUUUUAUUUGGCUACAGACCUCAGAUUUUAGCUCUGAAAACUUGAAAACAAGAUCUUUCCAAGGAUAUAGAGAUAUUCUUCUGGUUCCUUGUGGUUUGAUGGGAAAUUUCUCUCAAAAUUGGAUGCUCGCAGGUCGUAUUAGUCUGGAUCUGUCUUGGGAAAUUUGACGUAGCUCUCAAACCGUAACUCCGAAUCGUGAUCCGUUUUUUGCUGUGGCUUCGUGUGACUGUUGUUGAUAUUCCCACCAAAUUUUGUAAUUUUCUGGGUUGGUUUGCUACUCCGUUUGUCCUCUGCAUCGAGACAGACGCAAAUGCUUCAGUCAAGAGUUCCCUGUUUUGGAAAAUUUUCAAUACAAGUCUUUGACAUCUGUGGAGUGAUGGACAGUGUUUAUAAAGGUUCGUCAAGAUGUGCUUUUGAUACGUUUAAUGGUUCUCAGAGUGUUGUUCCAAAGGUUUUUGUGAGGAAAGGUUUUAAAGCAAGUUUUACAAAGGCUCAAUGAGAUAUCAGGUUGCUGCAAGUUAAGAAAGGGAGAAAAAGGCAUGAGUUAAGGUCAGUCUGUCAAAGGGAUGAAAAUCAUGAUUAUAACAUUUUCGGAGAGGUUUUAAGUUUGAUUUUCCGCUGCAAAUUUUCAAGGUUGAUCGAUGAUCCAGUCUCUAUGGAAUGGCCUUAUACUUCUGUUGAUAUAAGAAGCUCAGUUUGUUGUGAUCAAGCAUUGUUAUGGAAGUUCUACUGCUGUGAAGGAUGGUGUUUGGUUUAGUGUCACUCUUGUAAACUCAAGGAGAGCUGUGGGUGACUGUGGUUACAAAAGGUUCCUAGAAAAGAAAGAAAUGUCUCUGAUUAUUGGAAGAAGAAAGAGAAGAGAGCACUCAAUUAUUGAAGUUCAGGAGAAGGAUUCAUUUUCACUAUUAGUAUAAGAUGGUCGGGAUCAAUCUGAGGUAGAAUACUCAGAGUUGUGGAACUCCGAUUCAGUUCUGCAAGGUUAGCUUAAGUGACAUCUGCAAGGAGAUGUUGGUCGGGAUCAAUCUGAGGUAGAAUACUCAGAGUUGAGUAACUCCGGUUAAGGUGUAACCCAGGAAGCUGAAGUGUCUUGUAGGUGAAAGUUGGGACAUCGCUUUUGAAAUUCAAGAAGUUGUUGUUGCUCUAGCACUUAAACUCUGAAGGAAUUUAUAUGAGAAUCUGUGUUUGUUGAAGCUGGAUGUACACAUACUACAAUGACAGCUGCUUCAGAUUUUGCAAUUGCCUGUUUCAUUCAUUGGCUUACUGUUUGACAUGAAAGGUGUUGUGUAAAGACUAUCACAAGGUAUGUUCAUCUGGUUUUUUAUCUAACGUUGUUCUCAACAGAAUUGUGAAUUUCUGGUUGGUCUUGGGUUGGUUUCAUUGGCUGUUUUGAGUAUUGAACCGAGCUAGAAGGGAGAGAUCAAAGAUAUUCCCAUAUGCUAGAUGUGAUUGUGAGAGCAGUUUAAUACAAGAGCUCUGUUGGUGAUUGUUCUAUGGCUUGGUUAUAGGAUGGUUUGAAGUUUUUGGAAAUUGUCUCUGCAUUUUGUUCUUAGAAUUGCUCUCACAUCCGAUGAGACUGUUCUGUGCGUACGGCAGGCUUAGAUCUUGUUCCUAUUGGCGACAGCGGUUUCUUGUUGAUUGUGAAGCAACUUCUUCUGAGAUUUGAAGGUGAUGCUGAUGUGAGCUGUAAGGUGAUGUUGUUGGUUUGACAGUGGUGUGUAUAGCUGCUAAGAGUUGUCUUAAUUUUUCUUGUUUACCAGCAUGCUGCUUAAGUCUUCUCUGAGGAUUCUGGUCGGAGUAUGUUUGCAAAAAGGUGGGAAAGUUCUAUGUAGUGUGAGGUUUUAUCUUAGUUGUGCACUCAAGCAGGGGGAGUGAAAGCCUUGGUGAUGAUAUGUAUUCUUUUAGAUAAAGCUAGCAGUGUGGUUUGAGGCGGAGCAAGAAUUUCUCUACAGCAUCUUGGAGUCGUGAUCGGUCUAUUGUCUUAUAAUUCCUGUAUGGGUUGCUUGAGUAUCAAACUAAUAUAAAAAGGGGGAGACUGAAGAUGGUAAAUCGGGUGAGCUACAACUCUGACUGAAGAUGGUAAAUCGUGUGAGCUACAACUCACCCAUCAAGGGGGAGAUUGUUGGUAUUUAUGUGAUGGUGCUGAGUUGUGUAGAUGUUGUCAGAUGUUGUGAUGCAACUGCAGUGACAGAAGAAACAAAGACUUUAUGUUAGAAUCAUCAUAUGCGGUGACAACUUAGAGAGAGAGUAUGAAGAAGUAUUAAAGCUUGAAGAUCAUCAAAGUGCAAAGUUACAAGGUGAGCUCGAGUUCUAAAACUCAGUAACAAAGGGGGAGAUUGAAGGCGUGGUUGUAACUGGUUGUUAGACUCGAGCUAUGUUGAUGCAGACGGCAACAGAGGAAGUGUGUGACACAAGAGUUGAUACAGAAUAUAACAGAUGAGUAUGUGUAAGAAAAACGUCUCUUGUGACACAAGAAACUAGUGUUGAAGAGUGGUUGCAGAGAGAAAAAGGCCAUGUGGGCUUCGAGCUCAUAAGAGAAGUGACAUGGGCCUUGUUAUCAAAGGGAAGCCCAAGCAUGAGGAGCGUAGGGUUCUUGAAGCACAUAAAUAGAACGCAACUGGGAAAAGAAAAGGUUGCGCCUCUAGGGUUUAUCGAGAGAGGCACACAUGUGUGUGACGUUGUCCCAUCAAGAAGAUAGAGAUCUUUUGAUGGUUUUGUUGAAGAUCUAUACUUGUCGGAAAAGACAAUGAGUAGUAGUUCUUCUUUCAUUGUAAUUCUAGAAAAGAGUGGUGGAUGCCAUAUAGCACUUGUAGGUUGCGGAUUUUUCUAGUGAAUGGUUUCUGGACUAGGUCCCGGGGAUGUAGGUUAACCGAACCCCGUUAACAAAUCCCUUAUGUCUAAUUUACUUUAUGCACGCACAUACACUCGUGAAUCAUACAAAACUAUGACUCUAGCACACAUACGUAUUUACAAGUAUUUCCAAGACUACACCAUCUUCAAAGUCUUGAAUCAGCCAUAUACAACACUAUUAUACAUACCCGUGUAUAUAUAUAUACACUAUACCCAAUUAUACAUACAUACCCGUGUAGAUAUACUAAUAUACAUACAGACACACGUUUUCUUUAUAUGGUAUAAACACUGCUUCUGCUUCUUUUCCAUUGCUCUGUGUUCCUCUGUUUAACACACUUCAAACGAUAUUGCAUGUUAUACAAAAUGUAUUUUUCGUUGGAUUUAUAAUUUCUUGCUGCCGACGCAAUCCGUUUUUCUUUUGUGAAUACUCGGAAAUACGUGUUUUCCAACUGUAUAGUCCAUGCUUUUUAGUUUUGUAACAGAAACUUGUUUUUUUCUCUUAGUUGGGCUACAACGUAUGAACGAACAUAGAGUUUAUUACGUAUCUCUCUAUCCAUUUUUUAAUAAAGUUUGCGAUCCACGCGGCUGGCACAAUUGUGUAUAUAUUCAUACACAGAAAUCAACUGAUCCCCAAAAAAGGGAAAAUUACUUUGGAAAUAACAUUCACUUUAAUUGUUAGUUUAGUAAUGAUUUACUUAUUUAGUGAACUAGUGUUACUAGCAUGACAAGACUUUCCUUUUUUUACCCCUCUAAAACUAAUUUAUUCUCUACGAAAAUUUUAGCCGUUUAUACAUUUAAUUAGUAGUAUCCGAUUUAGGAAA